This 499-nucleotide ribosomal RNA is filed under the name uncultured bacterium. RNAcentral describes it as "partial 16S ribosomal RNA". It matches the Rfam family "Bacterial small subunit ribosomal RNA", at positions 28 to 507 of the family's 1533-position model. The record is from RNAcentral.
GACGAACGCUGGCGGCGUGCCUAAUACAUGCAAGUCGAGCGAAGUUUUUCUGGUGCUUGCACCGGAAAAACUUAGCGGCGAACGGGUGAGUAACACGUAACGAACCUGCCUCAUAGACGGGGACAACUGUAGGAAACGAUAGCUAAUAACGGAUAACAGCAUUAACUGCAUGGUUGAUGUUUAACAGAUGUUUUUGCUAACACUAUGAGAUGGCUUUACGGUGCAUUAGCUAGUUGGCGGGGUAAAGGCCUACCAAGGCGACGAUGCAUAGCCGACCUGAGAGGAUGAUCAGCCACACUGGAACUGAGACACGGCCCAGACUCCUACGGGAGGCAGCAGUGGGGAAUAUUGCACAAUGGGCGCAAGCCUGACGCAGCCACGCCGCGUGGGUGAAGAAGGCUUUCGGUUCGUAAAGCUCUUUUGUUGGGGAAGAAUGGCUGCAUGGUAACACCACGCUGUAGUGACGGUACCUAACCAGUAAGCCACGGCUAACUUCGUG